Molecule: ribosomal RNA, 253 nt
Filed under: uncultured bacterium
Lineage: Bacteria
Description: partial 16S ribosomal RNA
Rfam family: Bacterial small subunit ribosomal RNA
Source: RNAcentral
UACGUAGGGUGCGAGCGUUAAUCGGAAUUACUGGGCGUAAAGCGUGCGCAGGCGGUGAUGUAAGACAGUUGUGAAAUCCCCGGGCUCAACCUGGGAACUGCAUCUGUGACUGCAUCGCUGGAGUGCGGCAGAGGGGGAUGGAAUUCCGCGUGUAGUAGUGAAAUGCGUAGAUAUGCGGAGGAACACCGAUGGCGAAGGCAAUCCCCUGGGCCUGCACUGACGCUCAUGCACGAAAGCGUGGGGAGCAAACAGG